GGAGGAGUGGCUGAGUGGUCGAAGGCACCACACUCGAAAUGUGGCGUGGGGGAAACCUCACCGUGAGUUCGAAUCUCACCUCCUCCGCCA
This 90-nucleotide transfer RNA is filed under the name Candidatus Adlerbacteria bacterium RIFCSPLOWO2_01_FULL_54_21b. Its description in RNAcentral is "tRNA-Ser". It matches the Rfam family "tRNA". From Rfam's summary of the family: Transfer RNA (tRNA) molecules are approximately 80 nucleotides in length. The record is from RNAcentral. Lineage: Bacteria; Candidatus Adleribacteriota.